This is a non-coding RNA of Procambarus clarkii (red swamp crayfish), 5275 nucleotides long. The record is from RefSeq and is a predicted model, not a curated record. NCBI's taxonomy places the organism in Eukaryota, Metazoa, Arthropoda, Malacostraca, Decapoda, Cambaridae.
AAUAAGGCUGGGGAGAGAGUUGAAGUAAGAGGUGGAGGGACGGGGCUGCCGCUCGUCACUUGUUAACAUCCGGGGCUGCCAGGGUCGGCGCAGGCGCACAACUUGUGUUUCCUCAACCUUAAUUUUGCCAGCAAAUAUUCUGCCUAUUUUACUUGCCUUCCACUCUACUCCCUGUAAUUGACAGACACGUUCCUACAGCAGUAUAACAAUACCGGUAUCAUCACGACCAAUUUUCAUUCGCCCGUAAUCGGCAACAACUACCUGUUUUAAGAGGUGAUUCACUAUCGGAUUUAGGAUCACCAAAAAAUGUCGGUGCUAAACUUAAGCGAGGAUAUGGUGGAAUGUCCACUAUGUAUGGAGCCAUUGGAAAUGGACGACCUAAAUUUCUUCCCGUGUACAUGUGGUUAUCAAAUAUGUCGAUUCUGUUGGCAUCGGAUUCGUACAGAUGAGAAUGGUCUUUGCCCAGCAUGUCGGAAGGCUUACCCUGAAAACCCUGCUGAUUUCAAGCCUUUAUCGCAUGAAGAUCUCCAGCGAAUAAAGCAGGAAAAGCGUCAGAAGGAUGCACAACGUAAACAAAAGGUGACGGAGAACCGGAAGCAUCUGGCCAACGUACGGGUUGUGCAGAAGAAUCUUGUUUUUGUAGUUGGCCUUUCUACGCGGUUAGCUGAUGCAGAGACGUUAAAGAAGCCAGAAUACUUUGGAAAAUUUGGAAAAAUUCAUAAAGUAGUUAUAAAUCACAGCACUAGUUAUGCUGGGUCUCAGGGGCCAAGUGCAUCAGCGUACGUGACCUAUCAGAGAGCGGAGGAUGCGCUUCGAGCCAUUCAGGCAGUAAACAACAUUCAUGUAGACGGGCGGACGUUGAAGGCCUCCUUGGGGACCACAAAGUACUGCUCCCACUUCAUGAAAAACCAGCAGUGCCCCAAACCUGAUUGCAUGUAUCUUCACGAAUUAGGUGAUGAAUCGGCAAGCUUUACUAAAGAGGAAAUGCAACAAGGGAAACACCAAGAAUUUGAAAAGAAACUUCAAGACCAAUAUUUAGGGAAUCCAACAUCGGAAAAAAAUAGUACGAGUGUUUCGCCACCUCAAGCAGCCACCUCAGGAAAUUCCAGUUCGAAUAAAAGGACGGCAUCAGGAGGGGGCAAAGAAAAUUCUGCCCCCAAAAAUCAAGAUUCAAUUUCUCCUAAUCCUAACUCUGGGGAGGCAUGGCCAUCGCUAAAUGCCAUUGCCACUAAAGAAAGUAAAAAGUCCAAAGGCAGCAAAUCGGAUAGAAGUAAUGGCUCAGCAAGACACACGCCGACAGACGAGCACAAUAAUAAUAAUAAUAAUAGUAGUAAUAAUAAUAACAAAAGAGGGAGUAAAGAGAGAGAUCGAUCCUGCAAUACAAGCAGUAGCAGCAGCAGUAACAGUAGCACCAGUGGAAGCAGUAGCAGCUCUAGUAAUGGCUUGGGUGUGGAUAUGAUGAACCACAGUGUUAGUCCUGUGGCAACAUCUUCGCCGUCAUCAGGUCACGAGAGUUGCACGUCUUCUGCUUCUACGACCCCACCUCCAUCCUUUGAUAAUCCUCUAAUACCACCUUCCCCACCUCCUUGCUCUUCAUCUCCUGUUCCGGUGUCCUGCAUACAGGAUUUAUGCCGGGAAGAUACCUCUCCCUUGCCCACUCCACCCUCUUCGUUAUCAUCUUCCUCAGAACCUUCGUCAUCUCUCCCGCUACCACAACAGUUUUCCCGUUCUGCUGCCGCUGCUUCCCUCUUUUCGGAUAACAGCAACAGUUUCUUUUCGUCUGGGCCGUCACUUCCUCUGCAGCGAACACCACCACCACUUCCACCAGCAUCAUCUCCACAACAGAAUCACCAGCUUCACAACAGUCACGCCAGCAGUCAUCAGUACACACACGACAACACUUCAGAUUGGGCUAGCAAAACGUCAGAAGUAUUUGAUAUGGAUAGUAUGUUUCCCUCUCAAAAUCGCUCGAAUAGUACUUGGAACUGUAUAUUUGAUUUUGAAAAGAGUGAAGACAUGACAGGAGUCAAUAAUUUAGUAGAUGAUGAAUUAGGUUUUGAUCCAUUUGAAGAAACCAAUAAAGCAUUAGCCGAAGAUAUAAAAAUAGAACAAAAACAGCAGCAGCAGCUUCAAAGGCAUCAGCAGCAGUUCACGCAACACCAACACCAUCAACACCAAAGCCAGCUUCAAUCUCACCACCACCAACAGCAACAGCAGCAGUUAAGAGCUGGCCUAAAAUCAUUGAUGGACUAUACAACUCCUAGUGGACAGUCUCGUGCCAGAUUACCACCACCAGGCUUUAAUGGUUUAAACAGUUUUAAUUCAUAUGGUAUGCCAAGACAAACUCAGCCUGAGCCGAGUAAGCUGCUGCCACCGUUCUUAAGUGGGUUAGCAGGAAAUCCCAACCUUGGUACUCCUGGACUUGGUUCUGCCCCUUCAGUACCUCCAGCGCUCAAUGGCUUGGUGGGAUCCAGUGGUUUAGGUGUACCUCCAGGUUUGGGUGGGAGUCUUCUUGGUAAUGGCACCACUAAUGGGCUUGGUAGUGGUGGUAUACCAGGAGGACUUGGUAAUGGUAUGCCUCCCCACUUACUGUCGCCUGCUUCCCUCUUAAGUAUGGACACACCCCUCAGUGCCUCACAAGGUCCGCCAGGUAUCGGGUUGCCCAAAAGUGAUGCGUUCCUCCUCAAAGAUCUAGAAAACGGCCUUCGCAAUAUAUUCCCUGCCAUCAGUUCGGUGAGCACUAUGAACACGCUCAAUACCGUCAACACGCUAAACUCUCUUGCCGGAGGAACCAAUAAUCCGACCUCGCAAAACAACCCGUUAGCAAAUUUUCUAAACAUGGCUCACCACCACCACCAGCAACAGCAGCAGCAUCCUUCACAGCAAUCUCUUCUACACCAACUCACAAUGAGCUCUCUAGCAAGUUCUCACAAAGGUUGGAGUAACAGUGGUGCCCCUGAUCUGACAGUUCUUGAUCCAGCAAUUGUAUCAUCAGGACAGUUGACAGAUUCACGGUCAGAUUCUCCUCCCCACUGGAUGAAAACAAUGGAGCAGCUCACAGAGGGAGGUCCCCACCCUCUCUGGAAUAAUCUAAUGCCAUACAACUUAUCUGGCUUACCAACUGGUUUGGGUCCUCACACUGGCCCCUCAGGUCCUACGGCUCCCACACAGCGCUCCGUAGCACCCAUGUGGCCCCCAACCUCACCACCGCCAGGUUUUAACUCCAUCUCACCACUACAUCAUCCCAAGCAACACGAACCACACAAGAUUGAAACCCAUUCUCCUGCACUACUUUGCUUAGGGUGAUGCCCUUAGCACAGUCGCCUGCCAUGGGGUGACGUGUACCAUAGCCUAGACCAUACUCCAGUCUGAUGAUGAGGUCACAUGCUUCAUUUCCACAAUAUUGACUGCACUACACAUCUAGCAUCACUCAACAUGUAUGUGGAUGGAGACAGUAUUUGCCAUGCAGAUCUCUAAUAGCAGUAAAUGGAGAAGUUUAUAUCGUGUAUGAAUGAAGAGGAAGAAUUAUAGAAGAAUUUAUUAUAUUGAGCUCCAGACCCUUGUCAUCGUAUUCAAAACCAUUUAGGGGAACAGCUACAAGUCAUAUAGCCACUUUUUGAUGCAUUGUUUAGACAAAAAAAACGGUAGAAGGAAAGUGAAAUUAUUGUUUUCCCUUAAUAUUUAUUUGUGUAACUGGAUCAUGCAAGCAGUGAAUCAUCCUCUUUUUAUUUUAUUUUUAUUUUUUGUUAUCAAUGAGUUUAUAGUCUAUUUGAAUUAAUAAAAUGGAACAAUUUUUUGCCAUAUUUUUUAUUCGUGACAUGCAAAGCUUUACCGAACUUUCCCUUUGCUGUUUUUGGCAGCCUAUUUAUCUUGUUGCAUGCAUUAAGAGUCCUAUUUUUUAUUAUUCUUUAAGUUGUUAUAGUAUUGCACUUGGCAGAUGGGACUGUCUUAUUGCCUUCUAGCUGGUGUUUCUGGAAGAGUAGUCGUUCAUUUUCAAUUCAUUUGUAUCAUUUCAACGGAACCCUGCUAAUACGGUGUCCGCUCUGCUGUUGAGAAUUACAAAUUGACUUUUGUGGCAGAAGUCAUUUCAUGUUCCCAACCAAUUUUUGGCAUUAAAAAUGUUAAACACCUUCUCAAGCACAUGAUUAAGUUUGAUGUUUACAGGUUUGAUGAGGCUUUUUAUGCAAAUAUUUCUAAGAGUGCUGGAUACUAAGGAGCCCUGGCUUUGAUUUAUGAUGGUCGAAAUGAGAUUUGCCUAGCACAGUGUUUGAAUGCGUUUAAGUGUGUAAUUAGGUGUUAUUUUGGUUAUUUGACGUUACUUCUGUGCCUAAGAAAUUAGGUAAUUACAAAUGGCCCUUUUGUAAAGCUUGACAGAAUUUUUUUGGUUACAGUCUAAUCCAUAAUUGCAAUGUAGCUUUAAUGUCUUAUGUGCACCCAUCAAUAUACCGGUAUAUACAUAUAAGUAAAUAAAUAUAUGUACUGUAUAUAUACAUUAUAAUAUAUAUAUUACAUAUGUAAUUUAUUUAUAUUAAUGGCCAUCAAGGAGUGGAAAUAUAUAAAAAUGACUCGAAGGCUCAACAUAUAAAACGUUUGUAUCAGAUUUCUUUACUUUGAUAUAUCUACAUAUAUAUUUAUAUAUAACACAAAUACUGACCCUUAGUACCCAGCAAUCGCAUCAGUUUGGUAUCUCAUGUGCAUUUGAGGAUAAUGUCUGUACUACAUAUUGAUGCUGUAUACCCACUUCACAAGACUUCCCCCUUUACAAGAAUAUUAGUAGCAAUCUACCUUCCAUUGAUUCCAUACGCAUUGCAGACUUAUCCUAACCUUCCUCUGAACUUUAUCUUUUUUUUUUAAUAUAUAUAUUUUUUAUUUUUAUUUUUUGUUAUUUUUUCGUGUUUGAGGAUGUGGAAAUGCUGCUCUCCCCUAGAAAGUAGCAAGUCUUUCAAUGCUACGAAAAUGUUUUUCUUUGUAUCAUUUACUGCUGUUUGAAUCUUAAAGUGUGAUGAAAUUAGUGCUGGGGAAUUUUUUUGGUAUAAUAUCUACUGAAGAGAUUGCUGUUACUAGCAAGUGCUGUUGUCAUGGUAGUCAAGAAGACGAUCAGCUAGGAGUUACAUCCAAGAGAAUGUCAACAAGUUUGCUAGAUUCCGUGCACUUGUUGCAUCAACUGGCUCUUCUACUAAUGUGACAUCUAUAAAAUAUUUGAAGAUACUGUGGUAUAUUCUAGGACAACCUUCAACCAAACAUUCUAAUCUGAAAAAUAAAAGUCAAAAGAUUU